AUACGUAGGGAGCAAGCGUUGUCCGGAUUUACCGGGUGUAAAGGGUGCGUAGGCGGCACUGCAAGUCAGGCGUGAAAGGCGGAGGCUUAACCUCCGAGUUGCGUUUGAAACUGUGGUACUUGAGUGAAGUAGAGGUAGGCGGAAUUCCCGGUGUAGCGGUGAAAUGCGUAGAGAUCGGGAGGAACACCAGUGGCGAAGGCGGCCUACUGGGCUUUAACUGACGCUGAGGCACGAAAGCAUGGGUAGCAAACAGGAUUAGAUACCCUGGUAGUCCAUGCUGUAAACGAUGAUUACUAGGUGUGGGGGGUCUGACCCCUUCCGUGCCGGAGUUAACACAAUAAGUAAUCCACCUGGGGAGUACAACCGCAAGGUUGAA
RNAcentral lists this ribosomal RNA (376 nucleotides) under uncultured bacterium. RNAcentral's name for it is "bacterial SSU rRNA". It matches the Rfam family "Bacterial small subunit ribosomal RNA", at positions 523 to 898 of the family's 1533-position model. The record is from RNAcentral.